AGGGGCAAAAUCAUAAUUUUAUCAAAAUCCUGAUUUAAUAGUAUCAUUUGGUAGAACAAAAGAUUUGUGAUCUAUUGGUAAAAAUUUCAUUAUUUUUGGACUUGUAUUUUUGAAGUUAUGCAUGUUUGAAUUCCAUGAGUCGACUCAUGAGUCAGCUCAUGGCACAAUGAGCAGCUUGGCACGCUGAAAUUUCUGUUGGCACGCUGGAUUUUUGGCUUGGCACGACCUGUGAGUCGACUCAUGAGUCGACCCACAAGGCAUGAGUCGACUCAUGAGUCGACUUCUGCAUGUUUGGGCCAAAAAUUCUAGAAACCCAAUUUCUGGUUGUUGCAACAG
This 336-nucleotide long non-coding RNA is filed under the name Elaeis guineensis (African oil palm). RNAcentral describes it as "long non-coding RNA (EGUI_LNC067453)". Lineage: Eukaryota; Viridiplantae; Streptophyta; Magnoliopsida; Arecales; Arecaceae. The record is from RNAcentral.